Molecule: ribosomal RNA, 472 nt
Filed under: uncultured bacterium
Lineage: Bacteria
Description: bacterial SSU rRNA
Rfam family: Bacterial small subunit ribosomal RNA
Source: RNAcentral
ACUCCUACGGGAGGCAGCAGUGGGGAAUAUUGCACAAUGGGCGCAAGCCUGAUGCAGCGACGCCGCGUGGGGGAUGAAGGCCUUCGGGUUGUAAACUCCUUUCGCUAUCGACGAAGCCACUUGUGGUGACGGUAGGUAGAUAAGAAGCACCGGCUAACUACGUGCCAGCAGCCGCGGUAAUACGUAGGGUGCAAGCGUUGUCCGGAAUUACUGGGCGUAAAGAGCUCGUAGGUGGUUUGUCGCGUCGUCUGUGAAAUCCCGGGGCUUAACUUCGGGCGUGCAGGCGAUACGGGCAUAACUUGAGUGCUGUAGGGGAGACUGGAAUUCCUGGUGUAGCGGUGAAAUGCGCAGAUAUCAGGAGGAACACCGAUGGCGAAGGCAGGUCUCUGGGCAGUUACUGACGCUGAGGAGCGAAAGCAUGGGUAGCGAACAGGAUUAGAUACCCUGGUAGUCCAUGCCGUAAACGGUGGGC